Molecule: long non-coding RNA, 354 nt
Organism: Clupea harengus (Atlantic herring)
Lineage: Eukaryota; Metazoa; Chordata; Actinopteri; Clupeiformes; Clupeidae
Source: Ensembl
AGAGGGUGCACGUCCACAGGUUUGGUAGGGCUUAAAGUUUGCUGGCUGUCCGUAAAAAAAUGUCUCUCACAAACGUUAGGCGAUGGACCCGUAUCGUUUUGAUCGUGAUUAAUGUACUAGUUGGCCACAGUGGUAACAUUAAGUUAAUGGAUAGGGAAGGGUCCUGUUCAUGAUUUUUUCCCCCUACGGAAGCAAUGUAGCUGAAGCAAAAAGCUACUUGAAUUGGAGUAUGGAGUACAUUGUUUCAGACUGAGCUGCAGAUCAACCUACUGUCCCCUGACUUGCAGUGGCCUUCAAAUGGAAGGGAUGGACAAUGGUGUGGAGUAUGGUGAAGAUAUGAAGACCUUUUUUUCU